UAUUAUUAAAUUUAUAAUUAAAUUUUUAAUGUAGUAAUUUAUAUUAAAUGAAAUUUAAAGAAUUUGGCAGUAUUUUAUUCUAUUUAGAGGAACUUGUUAUAUAAAUGAUAAUCCACAUUAUAUUUUACUUAAUUUAAUUAAUUUGUAUAUCGUUGUCAAAAAUUUAUCUUUUAAGAGUUUUAAUUUUUAAAAUUGUAAAUGAACAAAUAUGUCAAAUCAAGGUGUAGUUUAUAAUUAAGAAAUAAAUGAGUUACAAUAAUAAUAAUUAUACGAAUUGUACAUUGAAAUAUUAACAUGAAGGUGGAUUUAACAGUAAAUUUUAAUAUAUAUUAAAAUUGAAAUUAGUUUGAAAUAAGUACAUAUUGCCCGUCACUUUCAAUUAGAAAUAA
This 389-nucleotide ribosomal RNA is filed under the name Polyardis silvalis. Its description in RNAcentral is "partial 12S ribosomal RNA". Lineage: Eukaryota; Metazoa; Arthropoda; Insecta; Diptera; Cecidomyiidae. The record is from RNAcentral.